Molecule: ribosomal RNA, 467 nt
Filed under: uncultured bacterium
Lineage: Bacteria
Description: partial 16S ribosomal RNA
Rfam family: Bacterial small subunit ribosomal RNA
Source: RNAcentral
GAUGGACGCUGACAGAAUGCUUAACACAUGCAAGUCAACUUGAAUUUGGGUUUUUAACUUAGGUUUGGGUGGCGGACGGGUGAGUAACGCGUAAAGAACUUGCCUCACAGCUAGGGACAACAUUUGGAAACGAAUGCUAAUACCUAAUAUUAUGAUAAUAGGGCAUCCUAUAAUUAUGAAAGCUAUAAGCGCUGUGAGAGAGCUUUGCGUCCCAUUAGCUAGUUGGAGAGGUAACGGCUCACCAAGGCGAUGAUGGGUAGCCGGCCUGAGAGGGUGAUCGGCCACAAGGGGACUGAGACACGGCCCUUACUCCUACGGGAGGCAGCAGUGGGGAAUAUUGGACAAUGGACCAAGAGUCAGAUCUAGCAAUUCUGUGUGCACGAUGAGGUUUUUCGGAAUGUAAAGUGCUUUCAGUUGGGAAGAAAGAAAUGACGGUACCAACAGAAGAAGUGACGGCUAAAUACGUG